CACACACUCAGCGAGCAGCUGCGGUGUGAACGCCUGCAGGAUCUCAGUGCGCCGCUGCCUCUGUCGCAGCGGGCACAGCCCACCCCACAGGAGAUCCCACAGAGCUCAGAAGCGGCCGAGUCCAGGACUCAGGCGAGAUUUGGAGAGAUUUUAUUCUACAGCUGAUGUGGGGGCAAAGAGGGCAGCAAGCCAGUAGGCAGGUGCUCAGGUUAAAGAUGGAUGGACAAGGUACCAGUGCUUAAUUCACACCUGACGGAUCCUUCAAAUGCUCCAGUCUAAGGAGUAGAGGCAGAAUCUUUGUGGUUUUCCAAGUCUAGGCUCUAGGCCUCGAGAAAUUACCUACCGCAGAGGGAAGGCAGCUGUCGAAAGUAUGAGACCCAAAUAAAGAAGCAAUUGUAUUUAAUUUGGAUACCAGGAAGUUGUUUCUUCAAGACAGAAGUAAUUUUUAAUAUCAGAGACCCAGUUGCGGUGGACACAAAAAUCACGACUGCCUGCCAAACAAUGAGUAAUCGCGGUGAGAAUUUGAAUUAACAUAAAUAUGAAGUUGUGGUUUGAACUGUUCAAGAUGAGCCACACACUGUCUGAAGGUGACACAGAGUUGAAACUGGGUGCGCCUUCUUACUUAAAAUAAAACAUUCCUUUCCAGCCAGCGCAACCUGUGCUGCUUGUCAGGCCCAGCAGUGUACGCAAAUGGCCAUAUCCUCCAGAUAUUUAAACGUGUGUGUAAUUAACUUACGCACAGAACUUCUUUGGCUGCAAGAGCAAUUGCAGUAAACAGCAUGGUUCACACCAGUACUUCCAGCACUAGUCCCAAGUCCUGCUAAAUUGUUAUGUUGAUUUCCUUACUAUAAUUGAAGUUUCUCUUUGCAUGUUUCUCCUAGCUCAGUUUUGAAGGUUUUGCUUGAUACUGAAAGCCUUUGAAUAGCAGAAGUUUUAUUUGAGUUAAAUAAAAAGGUGGAAGAGGUCUUCCAGAGCCUGGUCUGUUUAUGCCAGGAAUGAGUAUUUUACAGUUCUGAGUGCCUGGCCCCACAGAUUUUAUAUAAAGCCUUAGAACUAAUUAUUGUAUUACAUUCUAAAUACAUAUAUUCUAUACAACAGUGCAUCUCAUCACACUGCUUACUAAGCAAAAUGAAAAUUAAUGUUGCAUCAGAGACAUUCACCUCUUGACAAACCAAGUUUCAGAUGAUUCCUAGUUUCAGAUGAAGCCUACUUCCAGUUUUAGGUUUUAUGGCUUCAUAUAUAAUGAGUGGCUGUGGCAUGACGGGGCGGGGAUGAAUCAUCACAACGUUGUUUCUGUCCCGGCAGACAAGUGGAAAGAGGACAAAUGGGGAAAUAAAUAUUCCUGGGUCAAUGCUAAUGUUGAUGGUUGCCUGGUUGCCUUCUAAUAACUAUAAAGAACCACAUGAGCUUAACCUCGUGGAAGCGCAGGUGUAGCAGGUUAGUAGAAAGCUAAACCACAGUCAGGGGAAGCCCUGCAGAAGAAACCCCAAAAGCUAAGGAGGGGAAGGAGAGAGAAAGAGUUAAUUAGGGAAGUGCUGAUUCAUGAGGUGGUUACCAUACCUAUCAUCAUUUUUAGCCUGGUGCUUCAUUUACGGAAUGGCUUUAUUUCUGUUUAUAGCCUUUUCCCCUGACAGGGAGGAAUAAUAUGUACUGUCUGUCUUUCUGAAUCAUCAGCUCGGUGUAUGUGAUUAGUAUCUAGCCUUGCAGAUGGAACCAAAGCUUUGAGAAAGGGAAGAGAAAAGAAAAUAAGCAUCUUCAUUAAACUGAUCGGAAUCUACAGAAUUAUUAAGCUAGCUGUCCUGCUGCUCUGCCUCCGUGUCACACAACGGACUGCUGUACAGACAACCAAAUGGAGGACGGGAUGCUUUGUGCUGUACCAACAGAUGCCUGGAGAGCUAUGGAAAGGGGAAGAAACACCAAGGGCAGAACUUGGAUGGACGUGCAGGCUAUCCAUGGUUGAGUCACAGGCUGCUGCCAGUAAUAGUGAAGGAAUGUGGAACUCUGCACAGAGGACAUCGAGGCAGGAGGCUGACGGUCCAAGAACACUCGCACUGCCCAGGAGCUGAGGUACAGAAGGCAACUCACUGGAAAGGGACGGGAUGCAGCGAGGAGGGACAAGGAAAGAGCUCCGGGGGAUAAAAAGAUGGAUUCGUACUCAUUUCGUCGAGGUAGGAGCGCUCCUGCCCUGCCGGGAGAGCAGCGACCGCACCGCCGAACCGCCACGGCACC
Molecule: long non-coding RNA, 2229 nt
Organism: Cuculus canorus (common cuckoo)
Lineage: Eukaryota; Metazoa; Chordata; Aves; Cuculiformes; Cuculidae
Exons: 3
Source: RefSeq, a predicted model, not a curated record